AGUCGUAACAAGGUCUCCGUAGGUGAACCUGCGGAGGGAUCAUUACACAAAUAUGAAGGCGGGCUGGAACCUCUCGGGGUUACAGCCUUGCUGAAUUAUUCACCCUUGUCUUUUGCGUACUUCUUGUUUCCUUGGUGGGUUCGCCCACCACUAGGACAAACAUAACCCUUUUGUAAUUGCAAUCAGCGUCAGUAACAAAUUAAUAAUUACAACUUUCAACAACGGAUCUCUUGGUUCUGGCAUCGAUGAAGAACGCAGCGAAAUGCGAUAAGUAGUGUGAAUUGCAGAAUUCAGUGAAUCAUCGAAUCUUUGAACGCACAUUGCGCCCUUUGGUAUUCCAAAGGGCAUGCCUGUUCGAGCGUCAUUUGUACCCUCAAGCUUUGCUUGGUGUUGGGCGUCUUGUCUCUAGCUUUGCUGGAGACUCGCCUUAAAGUAAUUGGCAGCCGGCCUACUGGUUUCGGAGCGCAGCACAAGUCGCACUCUCUAUCAGCAAAGGUCUAGCAUCCAUUAAGCCUUUUUUUCAACUUUUGACCUCGGAUCAGGUAGGGAUACCCGCUGAACUUA
RNAcentral lists this ribosomal RNA (564 nucleotides) under uncultured fungus. RNAcentral describes it as "eukaryotic LSU rRNA". The stretch from base 211 to 364 matches the Rfam family "5.8S ribosomal RNA". The record is from RNAcentral. Lineage: Eukaryota; Fungi.